AUGGCGGAGGAACCAUCCGCCAAGUGUCAUCAUGCCGAGACGUCGAACAAGAGGAGCAACCUCGUCGACAUUAAAGUCCCCGGCGAGAAGUGCAACUACACCAGAACGCUCAAAGGGGUUGAGCUCCACGGCAAGGAGAUGCUGGAGAUUGUCUGCACCAGCGAACCAGACAAGGCCGACGAGGUGAUCUCCAGGCUCUGGAGGAAGCUUGGCGGCAGGUUUCGUAGGAUCAUCGGCGUUGGUGUGCACUACACCAACGAAGAUGAACCUCCCCAGAUGGCGGCAGUCCUGCAGUUGUGCGUCGACGAAGUCUGCUUGGUGUACCACAUCGCCACGGCCACAAAAUGGUGA
Molecule: ribosomal RNA, 351 nt
Filed under: Triticum aestivum (bread wheat)
Lineage: Eukaryota; Viridiplantae; Streptophyta; Magnoliopsida; Poales; Poaceae
Description: partial small subunit ribosomal RNA
Source: RNAcentral